GUAUGUGCCACCUGAUCUCACACGUGAAUACGCUCAGAAUCUUACGCAUAUCUUUUAGCAGAGGAAGAAAAGACUAACUAAGUAUUCCUCAUUAAUCAGCGGCGAGUAAAAA
Molecule: ribosomal RNA, 112 nt
Filed under: Heterorhabditis sp. EPNKU58
Lineage: Eukaryota; Metazoa; Nematoda; Chromadorea; Rhabditida; Heterorhabditidae
Description: partial 28S ribosomal RNA
Source: RNAcentral